CCAGCAUUCUGGCCAUCACAUGUUGUGACUUGUGUAACAGCACAGAUGGACAUGAAGAUGGUGCUACAGGCUGAAUGUCCUGAGGAAUUAAUGCUUCUGGGAGCAGCCUUUGACCAGUCCCUGAGAGAAUUAGCAGAUAGGCACAUGAGCUCGUUCGCCCCUUGGUUGAGAUAAAUCUGAGGCACAUGCUUGAUGCUGGCUCCUAGAGGUCCCCAGCAGGUUUAAGCUCUGCAUGCCCAUGGUGGAAACUGGCCUCAUGGCAUAACCUUCCCAGACUGCCUUCCUCUCUCACUUCCCCAACCCCUGACUGCUGUUUCCUGGAAUCACUCCCAAAAUAAACAGCUUGUGCUUGAAU
RNAcentral lists this long non-coding RNA (355 nucleotides) under Homo sapiens (human). Its description in RNAcentral is "HSALNT0265475". Lineage: Eukaryota; Metazoa; Chordata; Mammalia; Primates; Hominidae. The record is from RNAcentral.